UACGUAGGGCGCAAGCGUUAUCCGGAAUUAUUGGGCGUAAAGAGCUCGUAGGCGGUUUGUCGCGUCUGCUGUGAAAGACCGGGGCUCAACUCCGGUUCUGCAGUGGGUACGGGCAGACUAGAGUGCAGUAGGGGAGACUGGAAUUCCUGGUGUAGCGGUGAAAUGCGCAGAUAUCAGGAGGAACACCGAUGGCGAAGGCGGCAUCCUGGACCAACACUGACGCUGAGGAGCGAAAGCCAGGGGAGCAAACGGG
This 253-nucleotide ribosomal RNA is filed under the name uncultured bacterium. RNAcentral describes it as "partial 16S ribosomal RNA". It matches the Rfam family "Bacterial small subunit ribosomal RNA", at positions 524 to 776 of the family's 1533-position model. The record is from RNAcentral.